GCAUAUCAAUAAGCGGAGGAAAAGAAACUAACAAGGAUUCCCCUAGUAACGGCGAGUGAAGCGGGAAGAGCUCAAAUUUGAAAGCUAUCGUCUUCGGCGAUCGCAUUGUAAUCUCGAGAACUGUUUUCCGCGCUGGACCAUGUACAAGUCCCUUGGAAUAGGGCGUCAUAGAGGGUGAGAAUCCCGUACUUGACGUGGCCGCCCAGCGCUUUGUGAUACAGCCUCAACGAGUCGAGUUGUUUGGGAAUGCAGCUCAAAAUGGGUGGUAAAUUCCAUCUAAAGCUAAAUAUUGGGGAGAGACCGAUAGCGAACAAGUACCGUGAGGGAAAGAUGAAAAGCACUUUGGAAAGAGAGUUAAACAGUACGUGAAAUUGUCAAAAGGGAACCGCUUGAAGUUAGUCAUGCUUGCCUGAACUCAGCCUUGCUUUUGCUUGGUGUACUUUCAGGUUCGCAGGUCAGCAUCGGUUUUGGCUGUUGGAUAAGGGUGUUUGGAACGUGGCACCCUCGGGUGUGUUAUAGCCUUUCACUGGAUGCAACAGCUGGGACCGAGGAACGCAGCGCGCCUUUAUGGCGGACCUUCGGGUACCUUCGCGCUUAGGAUGCUGGCGUAAUAGCUUCAAGCGACCCGUCUUGAAACACGGACCAA
This 646-nucleotide ribosomal RNA is filed under the name Entyloma leontodontis. RNAcentral's name for it is "partial large subunit ribosomal RNA". It matches the Rfam family "Eukaryotic large subunit ribosomal RNA", at positions 38 to 669 of the family's 3401-position model. Lineage: Eukaryota; Fungi; Basidiomycota; Exobasidiomycetes; Entylomatales; Entylomataceae. The record is from RNAcentral.